RNAcentral lists this unclassified non-coding RNA (339 nucleotides) under soil metagenome. RNAcentral describes it as "partial contains 5.8S ribosomal RNA, internal transcribed spacer 2, and large subunit ribosomal RNA". The stretch from base 1 to 120 matches the Rfam family "5.8S ribosomal RNA", at positions 35 to 154 of the family's 154-position model. The record is from RNAcentral.
GAUGAAGAACGUAGCGAAAUGCGAUAAGUAGUGUGAAUUGCAGAAUUCAGUGAAUCAUCGAAUCUUUGAACGCACAUUGCGCCCUUUGGUAUUCCAAAGGGCAUGCCUGUUCGAGCGUCAUUUGUACCCUCAAGCUUUGCUUGGUGUUGGGCGUCUUGUCUCUAGCUUUGCUGGAGACUCGCCUUAAAGUAAUUGGCAGCCGGCCUACUGGUUUCGGAGCGCAGCACAAGUCGCACUCUCUAUCAGCAAAGGUCUAGCAUCCAUUAAGCCUUUUUUUCAACUUUUGACCUCGGAUCAGGUAGGGAUACCCGCUGAACUUAAGCAUAUCAAAGCGGAGGA